RNAcentral lists this ribosomal RNA (274 nucleotides) under uncultured bacterium. RNAcentral's name for it is "partial 16S ribosomal RNA". It matches the Rfam family "Bacterial small subunit ribosomal RNA", at positions 523 to 796 of the family's 1533-position model. The record is from RNAcentral.
AUACGGAGGGUGCAAGCGUUAUUCGGAAUCACUGGGCGUAAAGGACGCGUAGGCGGGUUGGCAAGUCAGAUGUGAAAUCCUACAGCUUAACUGUAGAACUGCAUUUGAAACUGCUAACCUAGAGUAUGGGAGGGGGAGAUGGAAUUAGUGGUGUAGGGGUAAAAUCCGUAGAUAUCACUAGGAAUACCGAAAGCGAAGGCGAUCUCCUGGAACAUAACUGACGCUAAGGCGUGAAAGCGUGGGGAGCGAACAGGAUUAGAAACCCUUGUAGUCC